UGCGUACCUUUUGUAUAAUGGGUCAGCGACUUAUAUUCUGUAGCAAGGUUAACCGAAUAGGGGAGCCGAAGGGAAACCGAGUCUUAACUGGGCGUUAAGUUGCAGGGUAUAGACCCGAAACCCGGUGAUCUAGCCAUGGGCAGGUUGAAGGUUGGGUAACACUAACUGGAGGACCGAACCGACUAAUGUUGAAAAAUUAGCGGAUGACUUGUGGCUGGGGGUGAAAGGCCAAUCAAACCGGGAGAUAGCUGGUUCUCCCCGAAAGCUAUUUAGGUAGCGCCUCGUGAAUUCAUCUCCGGGGGUAGAGCACUGUUUCGGCAAG
Molecule: ribosomal RNA, 322 nt
Filed under: Escherichia coli
Lineage: Bacteria; Pseudomonadati; Pseudomonadota; Gammaproteobacteria; Enterobacterales; Enterobacteriaceae
Description: partial 23S ribosomal RNA
Rfam family: Bacterial large subunit ribosomal RNA
Source: RNAcentral